This 340-nucleotide unclassified non-coding RNA is filed under the name Hevea brasiliensis (rubber tree). The record is from RNAcentral. Lineage: Eukaryota; Viridiplantae; Streptophyta; Magnoliopsida; Malpighiales; Euphorbiaceae.
AAAGAUCCUGAGAAUGAUCUUCUGUCACCAGCAAUCAAAGGCACUAGUAAUGUUCUUACAGCAUCAAAGGAGCUCGGUGUUAAGCGUGUUGUAGUGACUUCAUCUGUAUCGUCCAUCACCCCAAAUCCUAAUUGGCCAGCUGAUCGUAUCAUGAAUGAGGAUUGCUGGACUGAUAUUGAGUACUGCAAACAGAAUGGGGUAUGGUAUCCUUUGUCAAAAACACUUGCUGAAAAAGAUGCUUGGAAAUUUGCCAAGGAAAAAGAUUUGGAUAUUGUUGUGGUGAAUCCAGGAACUGUAAUGGGCCCUAUUAUCCCACCUAGCCUUAAUGCCAGCAUGCAAA